UUUCCGUAGGUGAACCUGCGGAAGGAUCAUUCAUAAUAAAGUGUUUUAUGGCACUUUUUAAAAAUCCAUAUCCUCCUUGUGUGCAAUGUUAGAUCUCGUCAAUCUUGGCGAGAUUUUUAUACAUCAACUCAUUCUUUAACUAAUUUGUCUGAAAAAUAUUAUGAAUACUUAAUUCAAAAUACAACUUUCAACAACGGAUCUCUUGGCUCUC
Molecule: unclassified non-coding RNA, 211 nt
Filed under: plant metagenome
Description: partial contains small subunit ribosomal RNA, internal transcribed spacer 1, and 5.8S ribosomal RNA
Source: RNAcentral